Molecule: long non-coding RNA, 1266 nt
Filed under: Phasianus colchicus (ring-necked pheasant)
Lineage: Eukaryota; Metazoa; Chordata; Aves; Galliformes; Phasianidae
Description: lncRNA (ENSPCLG00000001654.1)
Source: RNAcentral
GUGGGAAUGAGCCAAGCCCCCGGGGGCACGCAGGGCCGCCCCAUCCCGCUCUGCCUUCCUCACUGCACACUCCUCCUCCUCCUCCUGAGCAGCAGCAGUGCAGGAUGCCCCUUCCCUGCCGAGGGAACGUAUCCAUGGCCAAGAAGGAUGAGGAUGUCCUGGACAGCACUGCUGGUGCUGGUGCCAAAGGACUGGCAAAGUUCUUCACCCUGGGGCAGACUUUCCAAGCAGUCUCCCUUUCUCCCUAAAAAUGCCAUACUGACUGCUGAACAGGAUAAAGGAGAGCCCCAGGGCAUGGCAGGCAUGGUGCCCCUUGCACCAAGGGGAGCACCCCCAGCAUCUUGGCGUUGACCAUGAAGGCUGGCAGAGCUGGGGCACCCACCACGCCAGCACUCAGCACCCCAUCCUCCUCACAGGCAGCAGGACAGCAGAGCACGCUGAUGCUCCAAGCACAGCUCAGCUCUCUGCAUUCACACCCACCACUGACAGCAGGCACAGGCAGGGGAAGCAGCAUCAAGCUGCUCCUCCAGGAUCUGAAGGGGCCCUGGAUGCUUCCCUCUAUGACCAUACACCCCCCAGCAAGGACUGAUCACCAGGACACAGUCCAACUCCCCAUCACAUCACUAGCCCUCACAACCCAUUGCACCCCGCAGGGAAUAACGCAGCCCCACAACACCGUGCUCCAAGCUGCACUGCCCCAAAGGAACAUCAGGAAGAGACACUCACCCAGACAGGUCCUGGGCAGCUCAGGCUCCUCUUCCCAUUUCCACACGCCACGAGAGGAUGGGCCUGCAGCAAGCCGAUGGCCAGCACCGUGCUGCUCCCCUGCGCUCUGCCCCUCUGCAGAGAGCCCCGGAGCUGCUCAGCCUUUGAAACCAACGCCCCUGCGCACACAGACACUGGUUUGUGGGUGCUGUGCCGCCUUCAGGAUUUUUUUUUUUUUUUCCUUUCCCUUUUUUUUUUUUUUUUUUCCCAGAGCAUUUUGUACGUGCAGAUGCCCCGGCUUCUUACAAUUCAGCCCGGGGGCGUGGGAAGUGUUUUGGAACAUGCCCAAGCUGUCUGCUCCGUGCGUGCGUGCUGCUCGAUGCCAUCCAUCUCCAGCCCCCGGCCCCAACCCAGCAAAACUCCAAUGCUGGGAGCACUGGGCAAGCUUGGUGCAACCCAUUGGCAGCAGUCAGCGAGCUGGGGAAAUCUGGAGCCAGCCGUGGGGACACAGUGCUGCAGGGGCCAUGCUCAUUCCCUCACCCUUCUGCUAUCAAAAAAAUA